UGGGGAAUUUUGGACAAUGGGCGCAAGCCUGAUCCAGCCAUGCCGCGUGCAGGAUGAAGGCCUUCGGGUUGUAAACUGCUUUUGUACGGAACGAAAAGACUCCUUCUAAUAAAGUGGGUCCAUGACGGUACCGUAAGAAUAAGCACCGUCUAACUACGUGCCAGCAGCCGCGGUAAUACGUAGGGUGCGAGCGUUAAUCGGAAUUACUGGGCGUAAAGCGUGCGCAGGCGGUUAUAUAAGACAGAUGUGAAAUCCCCGGGCUCAACCUGGGAACUGCAUUUGUGACAGUAUAGCAGGAGUACGGCGAAGGGGGAUGGAAUUACAAGUGUAGCAGUGAAAUGCGUAGAUAUGCGGAGGAAAACAGAUGGCGAAGGCAAUCCACUGGGCCUGUACUGACACUCAUGCACGAAAGCGUGGGGAGCAAGCA
Molecule: ribosomal RNA, 427 nt
Filed under: uncultured bacterium
Lineage: Bacteria
Description: bacterial SSU rRNA
Rfam family: Bacterial small subunit ribosomal RNA
Source: RNAcentral